GGAGCGGGGAGAGACAGAGGAGGAAGAAUCGCAUUAGAAGCGGCUCUGGGAUCCCCGGCGGGGCAGACACGGCUGAGGGAGCCGAGUCCUGAGGGAUCCGAACCCGCCCGGCAGCGGCGGGAGCCCCUGAGGGGAGCGGAGCCCCUGAGGGGAGCCGGGCCCUGACCCUGAGGGACCCCGACCCCCCCGUUUGAAUUUCCCGCCCCUCAGCGCCGGCCGCUGAUUGGCUGCGACCAUCGCAGUCCCGCCCUUUUCCCGGCUGCCGAUUGGCUGUGACCGGCCCCGCCCCCGCGCUGCGCCGCGUGUAACGGCCGCGCCGCUUCCCGCGCGCGCGCAACGGCGGCGCUGAGGGGAGCGCGCGGGGCCGCCAUGGCCGCGGGUUCAUGAGGGGAGCGCGGGGCUGCCAUGGCCGGUCCCUCACGGCCGCGGGUUCCACAUGAGGGGAAAGCGGAGCCGCCAUGGCCGCGGGUUCCACAUGAGGGGAACGCGGAGCCGCCAUGGCCGCGGGUUCAUGAGGGGAAAGCGGAGCCGCCAUGGCCGCGGGUUCCACAUGAGGGGAACGCGGAGCCGCUAUGGCCGCGGGUUCAUGAGGGGAACGCGGAGCCGCCAUGGCCGUGGGUUCCACAUGAGGGGAAAGCGGAGCCGCCAUGGCCGCGGGUUCCACAUGAGGGGAAAGCGGAGCCGCUAUGGCCGCGGGUUCAUGAGGGGAACGCGGAGCCGCCAUGGCCGUGGGUUCCACAUGAGGGGAACGCGGAGCCGCCAUGGCCGUGGGUUCCACAUGAGGGGAGCGCGGGGCCGCCAUGGCCGGUCCCUCACGGCCGCUGCCCUCAUACACCCCAUAACCCCUUCAAUAUAAAACCCCUGAAUAACUUUCCUCUCCCUUGUCUUAUUCCUCCAUUUAUUUUUUUUUUUUUCAUCCCGAGGCUGUAUAAAUCCCUCGGUCGCAUACUAUUAUUAUAUUAUCAUUCUAAUGACCCUUAUUACCCUUCGCCGUUCCAUUUCCCCAACCCUCCCGCUGCACUCACCACACUUUAAAUCAUGUUUUUUAACUUGAAAAUCAAUGUGUUUUAUACACCACCACCCCAUUUUAUUAGAAACGGGAUUUCACCCUUUUUCUUUCUUUCACAGAAAAUUUUAAAAUAAUUUUUUUGGUCUAUCUGGCCUCUAAAUUUACUUGAGGAGCGUUUUUGCCAUCUCAGCAUCCCUCCUGUUAACCCUAUAAAAGGAUAUAUAAAGCUAUGGAUAAAAGUACCUCGUAAAGACAAACCUCGCUGCUCUGCCUCUCCGAGCCGUUCAUUGAGGAAAAGGCGCUUUUGGGGCGGAUUUAUAGGGGCAGUCCCCGCCCCGGAGGAGCCCUGUGACCAUCAUGAGCCGCGAUGUCACGUUUUGGGCAGUCAAGCUGUUCAGAGAAAAGAAUGUGGAGUGAAUCUUCCUGGAAUGUUUCUUUACAAGGAAUUUUUGGAACAGUUUAUUUUUUGUAAAUAGACACAAAUUCCUAAACUAUUAUCUCUGCAGAGCACCUCCUCCUCCCCAGUUAACUCACAUAAAAUAAAGAUUUUUAAGGUAAGUUAACUCUACACCUUGUGAAACCUGUACUUUAAUUUGAAUUAUUCCAGGUAUUUCUUAAUUGGAGUUCUCUGAGCAUUGUCAGGCUUUUCAACAAUGUUGUUUUAACUUUAUAAUCUGCAUUUUAAAUAAUAUCUCACCUUCUUCUUCCUUUUUAGAAAACCACACUGCUGCAGAAUUAAAAAGUCACUGUUAAAAGUGUUAAAGGUUUCUUGUGCUAUGGUGGGUUGUAAAGUGAUGGGGAAAAAAAAUCAGUAACACCAAAUUUAGGGAUUUGGGAUCUCCUGAUUGACAUUUUUUGCCUUGGGGUCUUCAGAUUUUACAGUAUGAAAUCCAAAUAUCCAGGAUUCCAAGGGAAGUUUUUGAAGGAAUAUACAUAUAUAUAAAGUUUUUUUAAAAUAUGUUUUCUGAUAUUUAUUAAUAAAAUAUAAGAUUCUCCAGACCAUUUGGGUUCUGGAAUUUUCUUUGCCUCAUUACAUCCCACUCCUUAUUCAUAUCCUCAUUAUUUUCAGGAUACUUUCCCUCAAAUUGUUUGACAUCAUUAAUUUUAUUCAGAUCUGCUCCUGUGCUGUGUUUAAAUUGAAUUUUUCUCUUUCAGGCCUGAAGAAGAGGUUUGUGGCCUCAAACCUCCUUUGUCUCAGCCCAGCUGUGUCAGUUGAGCUAAAAUAAAAAUAAAAAUGUUAUUUUUCUCUUCAAAGCUCUUUCUGCUCACCAGGCCAAGGCCAAGUGCUAAAAUCAGCUGCUCCUGAAUAAACAUGAAUUGCAAAUUAGGGAAAUUUUAACUGUCAGAGGCCAAAAUUCUGUAAAUUUUGCAGAGAAGAUAUUGAAGGCAAGAAGAGAAUUCAGAUUUAAGGUAGAACUUUGUGAGUUUAAGUAAGAAAUUACAGCAAAUGAGCUUUUCCAGUCUUAAUUCCAGUGUUAUUAUUAGUAGGGGAAAUAUUAAUAAAUAAUUUGGUUUUCCUGGAGGUACCACUUGCACUUCCACCAUCAAUUCCAGGUAAAAUGAUAAUUCCAGAGAAAUCUGGAGCUUGGAUUCUCAAGUUUAAAUAAACUCAGGGAAAUUGAAUUUCCAGCCCUGCUUGACAUUUGUUAUUUUGAUAUCCCCAC
Molecule: long non-coding RNA, 2673 nt
Organism: Oenanthe melanoleuca
Lineage: Eukaryota; Metazoa; Chordata; Aves; Passeriformes; Muscicapidae
Exons: 3
Source: RefSeq, a predicted model, not a curated record